Molecule: ribosomal RNA, 253 nt
Filed under: uncultured bacterium
Lineage: Bacteria
Description: partial 16S ribosomal RNA
Rfam family: Bacterial small subunit ribosomal RNA
Source: RNAcentral
UACGUAUGGUGCAAGCGUUAUCCGGAUUUACUGGGUGUAAAGGGAGCGCAGGCGGCACGGCAAGCCUGAUGUGAAAGCCCGCGGCCCAACUGCGGGACUGCAUUGGGAACUACCGGGCUGGAGUGCCGGAGAGGUAGGCGGAAUUCCUAGUGUAGCGGUGAAAUGCGUAGAUAUUAGGAGGAACACCAGUGGCGAAGGCGGCCUACUGGACGGUGACUGACGCUGAGGCUCGAAAGCGUGGGGAGCAAACAGG